UACUUAGGGAGCUACCAUUUGAUUUUUAUGGGGGGGCUAGGAUGAAAAAUUUUGUCCUGCAUUUUUUUUAGCUGUAAUCUUUGUCCUGCCUUUUUAUUUUUACUCUGUUGGUCCUGCCUUUUUUUUUUUUAGUUUAUCCUGACUUUUUUUACCUAAAUUGUCGUCCUGACUUUUUUUUUUUUGCAAGUGUCUCAUCCUGCCUUUUUUUUUACUCAAAACUCCUGUCCUGCCUAUUUUUUUCAAAUUUCAUCCUAGCCUCCCCCCAUAAAAAUCAAAUGGUAGCUCCCUUAA
RNAcentral lists this long non-coding RNA (291 nucleotides) under Mytilus galloprovincialis (Mediterranean mussel). Lineage: Eukaryota; Metazoa; Mollusca; Bivalvia; Mytilida; Mytilidae. The record is from RNAcentral.